Long non-coding RNA from Rana temporaria (common frog), 530 nucleotides. RefSeq lists it as uncharacterized. NCBI's taxonomy places the organism in Eukaryota, Metazoa, Chordata, Amphibia, Anura, Ranidae. The record is from RefSeq and is a predicted model, not a curated record. The transcript is spliced from 3 exons.
GGGGCCCCCUACUCACACAACACUUCCUUGCAAUCAAGAAGGUCCAUUCGCCCACACACGUACCCCCUGUCCGCCACUUGGGACCCUAUGUGGUGGUUACCGUCCUCCCCGCUGGUCCGGCGAGGGAGGCUUUUAGAUGCUCUUCUGAUGAAGCGGCUGUAGCCGCGAAACUAGUCAAGAGGCUCGAUAUGACUUUCAAACCCAUUAUGUUUUUCCCCCUUGUGGGGACUAUUAUACUGGUGCUAUGUUGGUCGUAGAUUGUUUGCAUUUUUUAACCCUGUACCUCCCUGUGUCUUUAUUGAUAUCUGUACCCAAUAAAAAUGUUUUUUAUUAUCUACUUGUUUCCUUGUACACUGUAUACCUAUGCUACUAGUACCGUGAUAGUCCAACAAUGGCCCACAACUCCCCCCUAGUUGGCUCUUUGAUUUGGGGACCUCUGAGCCAAUACUCUAUUUAUCUAGAUUCUGGAUGAUGGUACGCCCCCUUUAAAUGUUUAUUAAUUUGGUUUUUACCCUCAGAGGUUACAUAUC